This 73-nucleotide transfer RNA is filed under the name Actinomycetota bacterium. RNAcentral's name for it is "Actinobacteria bacterium tRNA-Arg". It matches the Rfam family "tRNA". From Rfam's summary of the family: Transfer RNA (tRNA) molecules are approximately 80 nucleotides in length. Their secondary structure includes four short double-helical elements and three loops (D, anti-codon, and T loops). Lineage: Bacteria; Bacillati; Actinomycetota. The record is from RNAcentral.
ACGCUCGUAGCUCAGUGGAGAGAGCGCUGCCUUGCGAGGGCAGAGGCCGCUGGUUCGACUCUAGCCGGGCGUG